This 647-nucleotide unclassified non-coding RNA is filed under the name Hevea brasiliensis (rubber tree). Lineage: Eukaryota; Viridiplantae; Streptophyta; Magnoliopsida; Malpighiales; Euphorbiaceae. The record is from RNAcentral.
GGAGCUUUCUCCAAAGGACAAGUAAACAACAACUUCAAGUAGUUGUAUAUUUUGAGCUGGAUAAUUUACAGCCUCAUCUUCUCAUUUUUCCAGUUCAUUCAGAUAUGUUAUAAUUCAUCUUCCAUCUCAUCUGGUACAUGCAGCUUUUCAAUGGCAGCCUUAAUGGUUGCAACAUCAGUUGCAGAUGGUUUUAAAUCUAAUGCUACUCCAAAAUGAAGCAUGGCUUUGUCGUACAUAUUACGCCUCUUAUAUAUCCUACCCAUCAAAGCAUAAACACUGCUCUCACGAGGAGCAUGCUCUUUGAGUUCCUCUAAGACUUCUAAAGCGGCAUCAAAACUUUCCGUGCUCACAAGGAUGUUAGCCUUCUGAUACAUUGGAAGGGGGUUUUUCUUGUCUGCUACAAUAGCCAGCUCCAUCACUUCCAAUGCCUCCUCAUUUUUCUUCAGAGCGUGUAAUGCAGUGCCUAGAUAUGACAUGAUAACAGAAGACUGUGGAUUUAUACCCAAAGCCAUUCGAAAGUGAUGCUCUGAAAAUUCAAACUUCUCCUGUCGGAGAUAGAUCAUUCCAAGCCCAUACCAGGCAUUGUAAUGCCUGGCAUCCACACGAAGUGCACUCUGGUAGCUCUUAAUAGCAUUUUCAAAAUCUUC